Molecule: RNA transcript, 10068 nt
Organism: Limulus polyphemus (Atlantic horseshoe crab)
Lineage: Eukaryota; Metazoa; Arthropoda; Merostomata; Xiphosura; Limulidae
Gene name: regulator of G-protein signaling 7-like
Exons: 17
Source: RefSeq, a predicted model, not a curated record
CUUCUCGAAGCUUUCUUAAGAGCGUAUCAUUUCACUCAAUUAAACGAACAGUUGGUCUUAUCUCUCUUCUCUUUCUCGGAAGGCGACAAACCACUAGGCGCUGUUUGUUUGUACUUAAGUAAGUGUUCACAAACAUCCUGCUAUUAAAAAGAUAGUCGCAGCGAAGUCACUGACGUUCUUACAUCCUUCCAUAAGCUGAGCGAAACUUCUAGCUAAACUAGCCGAGUUCGAGUUCAAAUUAAGAAUAUCAUGUUGGGUACAAUUUGAUAGAAUAACAAAGAAAUAUUCGACGCAACUAACCCACUAGUGACUGUGUGUGUGAAAGUUAUCGAAAACUAGGAAGGUAAAAUUCCACAAUAAUGAAAGACCAUCGUCUAUGUUAAACUAUCUGGCAACUUGUCUCAUUUCAAAAACUUUCUUUAGUACUGAUCAAACUCUUAGGAAAUGGUGAGUUGACGAGAAUUAUACCAGGUGUCACUGCAUUAUGACCAGAAGUGUCAAAUCAAAUGCAAUGGACCAAUCAAAACAAGAGGAUGUCCCGCGAGAACUCGUCUUUUCUAAGAUGGAGAGGCUGAUCAGAGAGAUGCAAAAUCCGGAAACGGGAGUUCCGGUGAGGAGUCAGAAGUUGUUCCUCACAUCCAUUCCAUGUGCCUUUAUGGGAUACGAUCUUGUGGAAUGGUUGAUGGACAGACUAGACAUCGAAGACAUAGCCGAAGCCAUCCACAUAGCUAACAUUCUCUGCCAACAUGGAUAUUUCUUUCCCGUUAACGAUACAAAAUUUGCGUUGAAAGACGACAGCACCCUCUACAGGUUUCAGACGCCAUACUUCUGGCCUUCCAAUCACCAACCAGAUAAUACUGAUUACGCCAUUUUUCUGAUGAAACGAACCUUAAAAAAUAAACAGAAACACGGUUUGGAAGAUUACGAACAGGAGGCGCUGGCACGUUUGAAGAAACUUCUUUGUCAUAAGUGGGAAUUUGUGUGUAUGCAAGCCGAAGAACAAGUCAAUCUCGCCAAGGAAAGGAAAAAAACUGACAAAAUUGUGUUAGACAGCCAAGAAAAAGCCUACUGGCUAGUUCAAAGACCACCGCCAGGAAUAUUCAGCUGUUUGGAAAGAAGCCCAAUAGCUAAUAAACAAACAACUAAAAAAGCCAAGACGAAGGAAGAAUUAAAGAAACGGGUCGAAUUCUUCAAGCAGUAUAUCUGUAAACCUAGAACAAGACUUCGUCAAGUGCUUGAGAGUUUAAUUCUUCGCUGCAAGGAAUAUGCUGAUUUCGAUCCAUUUAUAUCAGGUGCUCAGCCGUCAAAUCCUUGGAUAUCUGACGACACCACACUUUGGCAUCUAAACAAUGAUUUGGUUGAAACACCAACUGAGAAGCGAGUUAAACGGUGGACGAUUUCAUUGGAAGAACUGUUGGCCGAUCCAACUGGUGUUGUGGAAUUCGAAGUGUACCUGAGGAAGGAAUAUAGCUACGAAAAUAUUCGUUUUUGGAAAGCCGUGCAAGGUUUAAAACGUGGUUCUCAGACUGGUAUUGCCGACAGGGUGAAAGAUAUUUACGAAGAAUUCUUGGCCGCUGGUGCUCCCUGUGAAGUGAACUUAGACAGCAAAACAGUAGAGGUGACCCAAGAGCUCAUGAGGAGCCCCUCUCGCUACACAUUUGACGCUGCUCAAGAGCACGUGUUCUCACUGAUGAAAAAGGAUUCCUAUGCUCGCUUUCUUCGAUCUGAUCAUUACAAGAAUCUCAUCAGAAAUGCCCAACAAACGGCACAGAAGAAGAAGUUUUUCAAUUUUGGUGCUUCAACACGAAAAAAGAGCUCGCCAGCAGCCGGUACAAGCAAAAGGAGAAACAGCGGUUCUCACAUGACUAAUAGUACGGUGGACCUUAGUUUGACUCGACAGCCAAGUGUAGAACGACCUUUUACAGGAAAACAUUCCCACAGUACGAGCGACCUUCAGGAUCUAGAAACGCCUUCUGAUAAAUUGUCGUGUAGUAGAUUGUCUUCGCCGUCAGUAUCGCGUGAUCGUGUGAACGAUACUGUACGAAGCACCCUUCAAGUUCCAAGGGGAUCUCAACGCAUGGAACAUUCCAGUAGUUCACUGGAUGAGACUAGUUCAAACUUGUCACUGGCUGUUCCUCGACGGACUAGGAACUUGGUCGCACCUUGGGAGUUGGAAGAUUAGAAUCAAGAGAGUUAGUCACUUUGAGCAGUACACGACAAACUCGCUGUUUUACUCGGUUCACUUGCGUAGAUCCUAAUACUUUAAGACUUCAUAAUGUAACAAUCAGUGUUGUUAUUAGUAUUAUUAAUAAUAUUAUCACUUUCAUGUUGUAAAUAGUUUACAUUGAUAAGGAGAGAAUUUUCAAUGUCCAAGAUACAGGUGGUGGUGUUAAACUUAAUGUCGUAUCCAUUCUAUCAAAGAUUCCAAUGACCCUCAAAGUAAACGAGGAAUCUGAAUGCGAUUUUUACUCAGCUAAUUAAUAUCAUUCUCCUAAUUCCUACAAAUCAAAGAAGUCGUCACAGUUUAAACCAAAGCUGGAACGUUUAUUUUUGUUCAAUACUUCUGUUAAGAAGUGUGUUUCUACAGAACCAAUGACGACACUUGAAACUUGUAGAGGUGUCUAGGUUAAAGUUAAUGACUGCAACCUUCACAUGCUGCAUCACUUUUCUGAUAGAAUUUACCAGUAGUUAAGGUGCUUCGUACGUUAUAUCGAUAUAUAGGUAAUCCAGUUAACUUUCAUUGGUGUAUGCGGUCUCUAUAGUAGAUGUUAUCAUUGAUGAAAAUGAUUUAUAGUCUCUAUCGAUGUCCAAGUUAAAAGUAAUUUAGUUAAAUUCCACUACUGUGUUGUUCUCUGGUAAUGUCUACAAGUAAUAGGUGCCUCAUAGGUUAUAACAAUAUCUAGAUUAAAGUUAUUUCAUUUCACCUUCAUUACACUAUAGGUUCUUUGGCACGUUUUACAGAUAUUGAUUGUAAAGAUGCCGAGGUCAAAAAUAAAUAGGUUAACUUUGAUUCUUUGAUUGUAUUUACAGUUAAAGUGCUUUGAUGAAAAUGUUCAAAUUGAAAGUUUAUUCAACUUCCUGAAAGGUUUUACCAGCCGAUAAUGUGCGUUUGAAAUUAUUCAGUCCAAUCGAACUAGACUGUAGAACCCAUAGUCUGUAUCAUUUUACCAACGGAUAAGUUAUACAUUCACAUCUGUACGAAAAGCUCAUGUUAGAUACCACUAUGCUAAAAUUAUAAAUCCACAUCUGUAGUAAUGAAUAGAUGUAUCAGUAAUAUCGUAUAUCGCAGUCUAUAGAACCCCUCGUUGACAUCAGAUCCACUGAUUUUUUUUUUCUGACAAUAUUUUAUAUAGUAAUUCAUCGGGUUCAUUAAUAUCAAUAACACUACCAUACAAUCGAAGAGUUGCUUGUGUUCCCAUAGAGCUGGAAAGUGAUGUAUUUACUAGUGGUUGGAAGAAUCUUUAUCUUAAAUAUUUGGAGGUAGUUUGGUGAUUCAGCAUGGAGUGGCUGAUUACACUUAAUCCAUUAAAAACUUUGGCCUUGUAAAUAUAAUACUGUGUGUAGAAAUAUACUUUUUGACUAUCUAUUUGCUAAUAAGCUUGUUUUAAAUUGCGAGGUUUCUAUAUCUGUUAUUAAAGAAAACCAUUUAUCUUUGACUCGAUUCUUCGCAAUUGUAAAACAAACUUGACGUGAAACUCAAAAGUUGGCAUUGAGAUAUAACUAAAACCUUAUACUUAGUAAAGAAUCAGCAGUUUAAAUUUAUGUUUAUUGGACAAUAAAAUACUUGUGAAUUUAUGUAAACGUUAUGAUUCAUAGAUGGAAUGAAAUUUGAGUGGACAACCUGUUCGGCGAAUUAGUGAAAAUCUAUUUAUGGAUGUCCUUCAGCAAAUCUUCAGUUAUCAGUUCACCAGAACAAAUUUUUAUUCAACAUCUCGAUUGUAAAUUAUAUUUUAUGUUAGAUUAUGCAACUACGUAAUACUAGAAAAAUACAGGAUUCGCCAAAAGAAGUGUGGGGAUUUAAAACUUCGAUAAUCGACAUUAUCAUUUAUUGGUAAAAAUAAUUAAUGUUUAUUAUUUAUGAAGCUGUAGCUCACUAAGGUCUCUUGUAACCAUUAAGUAUGAAAAAUGAUGUCCGGUAGGUGUCCACCAUAAACUGAUACUCACUGGUCUGGUCUAAGAAUGACUCCUUCCGUUUCAGAGGUCAACGUUUCUCGCGUGAGGUCAGUAAUUUCUGUUUUUAAUGUUAUCUUUCAAAUCCUGUAGUGUCCGUGGCUUGUUGGUAUACACACUUUCCUUUGAGUAUUCUCACAAAAGGAUGUCUGCUACUGACAAAUCCGGAGGUCAUGGAGGCCAGUUUAUGUUUCAGUUACGAGAAAUUGCCCUAUUUGGGAACAGUUCACGCAACACUACCAUUGUUGCUUGUGUUGUAUGACAGGUGGCCUCAUUUUGUUGAAAACAAAAUUGCUACUGAUAAUAUAUUCGGAAGGAACAACUUUAACACCAAGUUCUCGACGGUAUGUUCUUUAAGCAACAAUGAUGGAGGUUUUAUUCUUGAAAUAAAGCUCAACAAUAAGAGACCACUGUUGAAUUGUCCACCUGCCCAUCAUUACAAUUCAAACCUUUAAUCUUCAUUCUGAAAAUAACAAAUGUUUUUCAUAAAUACUUUGUAAAAUCUAAUUAUAUGAAAGUCCUACACUUAUUUUGGCGGACCCUGUAUAAUGAGAUCAUGACAACAUAUAUCAAGUUAAGGAGACCCCCAUUAUUAAAAUAAUCUUUAAAACAAACUUUAUUUUCCCAACUUAGAUAUAUAUAUAUAAGUCUUAUUUUUUUUCUGUAAAAAAUAAACCAUACAGCUUUGAAAAAAAAUAACACUAAUGCGAGUCUAUGGAUAACUGACCAGAUUCUGAGCACUUAUAGAAUUUCUGCGGCCAGUGUACUUUUAAGUGUGAAAAACGAGAAUUUUCGAUUUUUCACUUCAUCUGUGAUUUACUUUAUAAAUAGGAUAUUCUAUUGUAUUCUGAUGUGAAAGACGAUGCAUAGUUAUUUUAUAAACUUUUAGUGUAUGUGUCUAGCUAUACUAGAUAUAUAUAUAUAUAUAUAUAUAUGUGUGUGUGUGUAAGGCAUCUACAGCAUGAUAAUUUAUACCUGGUUAUAAGGAGCUUUUUCAACACCAACGAAAGGCGAAUAUUGAAAUAUAAAGCUCCGUAUAACUUGAAUGCAAAUACUUGUAUCUGUUUGGAAGUUUAAAAGGUGCUUUAAUAGAUUGUCUGUUCAGUUUUAUAUUAGUUUUAGCACUCAAAAACCAAGAGACUAGUGUUAAACUAUAGAAAACACGACCCAGAACUUGAUGUGAAUCGACCUGGUUUUUUUCGUAUAGCCAUGUCUUUGGGCAUUGCUUCGUAAACCGAAAGCUGGAAAGUUAUUAAAGACACGGUCCAUGGAAGAAGGUGUCGCUAGUAGCCUAGUUAUGACCGUAUAGUGUCAUGAUUCGAUAACAAAGUUUAUACUUUAAAUGAGCUUGCGGAAGUGGAAGACUUCUACCCACAGACCUUUAAAAUCCUUUUUUUCACAUCUUGUAUCAUUAUUUAAUCUAUUCUCUAUCAAUUCCAUUACAUUCUCAGUCUUUACACUUAAGUUUGGGUUUAUUUUUCCACAUAUAAAAUGUUUUUGCGACGUUGACUUUCUAGGUGUUGUUACCAAACCUAAAUCCACUGUUCACCAGGUGACAUUAAAGUGUACCUUGAAGCGUAUUCCAACUUCAUCGGGUUUUAUUUUCGAGCAAAUACUUGUAUAUGUUUGGAAGUUUAAAAGGUGUUUUAAUCGAUUGUCUGUUCAGUUUUAUAUUAGUUUUAGCACUCAAAUGUCCGGAUAUAAUCUAAUUAUACUAAGGAAGCUGGAUGGAGUUCGCUGUUAUCAUUACACUACCUCAUACAGUUGUAACGCGCUUGUACUUCCACUAAUAUUCAUUCAGUUCUUUCAUGCCGUAUUCUACACGCUGUUUCAACCUUCGAUCCCGCUCUUAACUAAUCUUAUGCUGUUGAAUUGUCCACUAUUUAAUUAAAUUACCUUAAAUAAUAAGCCCUACCAUGUUUCAGUUUAGUCCUUCCUUAUAUUCUAUAUUUAUUCAUAUCCUGACAUUUCUUCUUUUUAUAUAUCUUUCACACUUUUCUCUAUCUUCCACUCUAUUGGUUUAGUAUAUUGGCGUCUAUCCUCUCUCAAUUCCCAGCGAUAGUUAAAUAUAUCUGUUAAUAUUUUGUAAUGCCUUUCAAGCUGUCCUUCUAUUUUUCAGUCUGGUCUUUGUAGUUCGUCUUUUAAAGAUCUUCCCUUUUUAUAUUUCCUGCUACGUUAAGUCUUUUAUUUUAUAUUCCUAUCUAUGUUUCAUUUUUUAAACUUCCACUAAUAUCUGGUCCUCCGUUCUAAAUUCUCACUUAGUUUUCUAUAUUUAAUUUAUCUUCCCACAUUUUCUCAUUGUUUAAAAUCCUCUUUUUCACAUUUUGCAUCAUUAUUUAGUCGAUCCUCCCUACUUCCAGUAUGUUUUCAGCCUUUCCUUUUAAAUCUAUCUUUAUUUUCCACAUCCUCAACUGAGUUUCAGUAUAGCCUACUGUUUAUUAUUAUUUUUCAUUAUAUCUUUUCGUAUAUUUAGAGUCUACUUUCCAGUAUUCCUUUUACUUUGUAAACACUUUCCCAUCUAACCCUCUACACCGUAAAGACAUUUCCAUCAAGUGUCAUCUAUUCUUGCGCAUUUCCCACUGUUGUUCAUUAUAUCCUCCUGAUAAUCAACCAUAUGUUUCGGUAUUUAAUACAGGAUUUUCAUAUAACUUCUCAAUCCCACAGUCAAUCAGAUAUAUCGGUUUAUAAUUCAGGGCUUGUAUAUAUCGAGAUUGUUCAACUUCUGUAGUGUUUAAAGUGUAAGCAAUACUUUAGGUACGUGCUUAUCAUGCUAGAUAGCUUUAAAUAUAUAUAUAUAUAAUAUUUUUUCAGACUUAUCAGAUUAACUGGUGCUUAUUUCCUUGUUGUUGUUAAAAAAAAUUUUUAUUGUAAAAUGUUAAAAUAGUUUAUAUCACUCUUGUCAGCAUAUACAAAUGUCAAGUUGAAUUUUAAAGGACACAGAAAGAAAUUUACACCGAAGUCUAAUUGUGGGCGUUGUACAUUACGUCCAGAGCUGUUUGUUUGUUUCUAAUUAAGCACAAAACUACACAAUGAGGUAUCUGUGCUCUGCCCACCACGGGUAUCGAAACCUGGUUUCUAGCGUUGUAAGUCCGCAGACAUACCGCUGUGCCACUGGGGGGCGUUCAGAGUUGUUUCUUAAUGUUACAGCAAACUAUACACACUUCUACGAAUUGAAACUUAGCGUAAACGAAUAAUACGUUUAGUCAAAAAUAUCACUUUCAAAGAUUAACCCAUUUUUAUGUUACUGGUUAUAGACUGUAUUUCUUUGUUGCAUAAUAGGUGAAACCUCCACAUGCUUGUGUUUAUUUGUAGUGUAUUGGGUAUUUACCAUAUAUUUAACUGAAUAAUGAAAAGUGCAAUUUUUUUCAAACUCAUAAUAACAAUCAGCAAAUUCUAGCUUGACGUUGACACAAGCCUUUAAUCGCAUUACUUUGAUGUAGUCUACAAAUCCCAUUGCUGACGCAAAACGUUAUGUGCACACAGCAGAUCAAGCGUUGCUAAAUACCGGUUCUAACAAAUCAUUACUUCAGCACAUAUUAUCUAUUUCAUACAUUUUUAUCUUCGGUUAAUUGAAGUAUAAAAUGUAUAAUAAAUUCAACAAGCACUUACUAUCUAAAGGCUCAUUACAUUAACACCUUAUAAAUUUUAGUUCUGCUGAAGUCACAGCUAAUAAGGUAUCACCUGGAAAUACCAUAAUUCAUUUUUCGGUUUGAAGUCAAAAAUAAUAAUGAAACAUAGGUUUGUCGACAACACAGUCAUGCUCUUCAUUUAUUUGGGGCACCAGUUGUUGUAUAAAACGUGGGUUUAUUUGUAAUAAAUCACCGAACUAAUAACCUUACCAAAGAAUGUGUUAAACUUACGUUGUAAACUCGUCGCACUGGGAAAAAGUAGAUUAAUAGAACACCGAGAAUGUGAUCUGUUAAUGAGUGUGCUAACCGGAUGUUCUGAAAAGUGUGAGCUUAUCACAGUGUCAGAAAGGUAGAUUAAAAGAACACCGAGAAUGUGAUCUGGUUAAUGAGUGUGCUAACCGGAUGUUCUGAAAAGUGUGAGCUUAUCACAGUGUCAGAAAGGUAGAUUAAAAGAACACCGAGAAUGUGGUCUGUUAAUGAGUGUGCUAACAAGAUGCUCUGAGGAGUGUGAGCUUAUCACAGUGUCAGAAAGGUAAAUUAAAAGAACACCGAGAAUGUGGUCUGUUAAUGAGUGUGCUAACAGGAUGCUCUGAGGAGUGUGAGCUUAUCACUGUGUCAGAAAGGUAGAUUAAUAGAACACUGGGACUGUUGUCUGCUCAAUGAAUGUGCUAACCGGAAUAAUAGGUUGUUGAGACUGAAGUUUGACCAUCGUAUGUGAUAACCAAACGUUGAGUAAUUACUACAUUAUGAAAUAUAUAUAUAUAUAUAUAUAUUGGUGAUUUGUUGCUAUUGAAUAAGCUAACUAGACGUUGUGAGCUUGCUAUUUACAACAGUCUCACAAAAGGAAGUGAAAGAUUAUUUUAUUUUAUUUUGUGGUUUAAAAUGAGCGGUUCCCUUUUAUAAACAAAACAAAAAAAUAGUGCAACCCAUACAUGUAUUUCAACCGGAACUUGUCGGUCUUUCUCCCGUUUGUUCCUCUCCUCGAGCGCUCGAGAAUUGGUUAUUCUCCUCUAAGUUUAAAGAAGACAGUGGUAUCAUGCUAUAAGAAAAGAAAUGUUGGGAAUUAACAGAUCUACCUACGGCUUCUACAGUAAAAAACACAUUUUAAAUAACUGGCCGGGCAUGGUCUUGUGAGUAGUAUGCCCAUGCUGUAAAUUAGAUAAUUCAUGGCAUGGUCUUGUGAGUAGUAUGCCCAUGCUGUAAAUCAGAUAAUUCAUGGUUUAUGUCCCUUUGUUACAGAAAAGAAAAAAAAUGCACUCUGCACGCACAUUGAGGUCGUGGGCGCUCUAUAUGAGUAACGGUUAAACCCUAUUCGGUCAGAUAAUAAAAGCCCAAAAGUUGGCGCUAGGUGCUGUUUACUGGCUGUCUUCUCUCUAGUGUGUUAUUUGGAAAUUAGAGACAGCUAUACGCAGAUAGAAAACAGGUGAGCAUUAGAUUAAUUCACUGUCUCUGUACAAGGGCGGAUCAGUCCUAACAAUCGCAUUAACUAAUAUCAAAUUAUUUCAUUUUUAUUUUCAAAAGAUUACGUCUCUGUAGUUUGUCCUUGCGAGUUAAUAAAUGUCAUUGUUUUGCACACAUGCGGUAAGUUGCAUGUUGUUGUUUCUUCUCCUUGUUGUGUUUAUGUGUUAAACUUUUUAAUGAUCUUAUCGAUGACAAAGUAGAAUAAAAUAGCAAGUGAAAUAAUGAGCUAGCCAAGAGGAAGUAUUAGAGGCGCAUCUUUCUUUAGUAAUAAGUAUAUCCACUGGUUGACUUUUGGGUCUUUGUGUACUGGACAGCCUGAUAAAAAACUGAGUCUGACCACUGAAAAGAUACGAUUUUAUCGGGUGCGCGUGUGUUUUAUUCGAGGCUUAAUACUAGGAUAAUUAAUGUUGCCUAUCUGAUCUCUUAUUUUUUUUUAUUUAACCUGCAUUUAAACCACUUGGUUGUAGUCCUACGCACUGGGUGGUGACUUUGCCAGGUAAAAAAAAUUAAAUAAUUUUAUGUGUAGUCCAGAAUUUAAAAAAAUAUUGUCCUGUAAGACUCGGUGUAUAGUUGGAUUUAAUAUUUAAAAUCCCUGUUACCAAAUGAACGUACCAUUUCAAAAGGGUAUUUAAACGUUAAACGUUCAAAUCAUAUUUUACCUUAUUUCAAAUAUUCUGUGCAAGAAAGUUAUAUAUUAUUUAUUUGUAUAUAAGUGUUUAUAAUUACGGUGAUGUAUUAUACAAUUAAUUAUAAUAUUUUUUUUCAGUCAAUUGUUACGGAGGUACAUGUGUAUAAAGUUAAAGUUCUG